AUGACAUCUUACUAUGCAAUACUUGGUUGCAAAUGUCGAGGGAUCCAUCCGUUGGAGGUGAUCAAAGUAGAGAUGCUUAUUGGGGGCGGAAGUAGAGAUGCUUAUUGGGGGCGGAUGAAAGAACACUUUGAUGUUCGCAACGUGAGUGGAAUUGACCGCUCCGAGAGAUCACUUCGGUCCCGGUGGUCGACAAUCAACUCGGAUUGUCAAAGGUGGGCGGCCUGUCAAAAAGCGGUUGACAAGUUGAACCCAAGUGGCACAAAUGAGGACGAUAGAGUAAGUGGCAUUUCAUACAUGUUCAUCAUACUUGUUGUUGGUGUUCGAAGUGCUAACUUGCUUUGUUUUCAUGUAGUACCACAUUGCACAAAACUUGUUCAAAGAAGAGGAGAGGAAAACCAAGAAGGGGAAGAUCAAGAAAGGAAGGAUCUUUACCUUGCCUCAUUGCCAUGA
Molecule: ribosomal RNA, 450 nt
Filed under: Triticum aestivum (bread wheat)
Lineage: Eukaryota; Viridiplantae; Streptophyta; Magnoliopsida; Poales; Poaceae
Description: partial small subunit ribosomal RNA
Source: RNAcentral